RNAcentral lists this ribosomal RNA (377 nucleotides) under Cryptotermes darlingtonae. RNAcentral's name for it is "partial large subunit ribosomal RNA". Lineage: Eukaryota; Metazoa; Arthropoda; Insecta; Blattodea; Kalotermitidae. The record is from RNAcentral.
CUCUUCCUGAUUUUGAUUUGAAGUAUGGCCUGCCCACUGAUUUAGUUGAAGGGCCGCGGUAUCUUGACCGUGCAAAGGUAGCAUAAUCAUUAGCUUUUUAAUUGUGAGCUGGUAUGAAUGGUUUGACGAGACACUAGCUGUCUUUGAAUUGGAUUAUAUUGAAUUUGUUGUUUGGGUAAAAAUACCCAAAUUUUUUUGUGGGACGAGAAGACCCUAUAGAGUUUUAUAUAAUGUGUCUUUUGUGGUUUGUUUUGGUUUAUGGAUUAUUUAUAUUUUGUUGGGGUGAUGGGAAGAUAAGAAUAACUCUUCCUUUUUAUUUUCACUGGUUUGUGUUUUUUUGAUCCUUUAUUAUUGAUUAUAAAAUUAAAUUACCUUAG